Molecule: ribosomal RNA, 427 nt
Filed under: uncultured bacterium
Lineage: Bacteria
Description: partial 16S ribosomal RNA
Rfam family: Bacterial small subunit ribosomal RNA
Source: RNAcentral
UGGGGAAUAUUGCACAAUGGGCGCAAGCCUGAUGCAGUCAUGCCGCGUGUAUGAAGAAGGCCUUCGGGUUGUAAAGUACUUUCAGCGAGGAGGAAGGCAUUGUGGUUAAUAACCGCAGUGAUUGACGUUACUCGCAGAAGAAGCACCGGCUAACUCCGUGCCAGCAGCCGCGGUAAUACGGAGGGUGCAAGCGUUAAUCGGAAUUACUGGGCGUAAAGCGCACGCAGGCGGUCUGUCAAGUCGGAUGUGAAAUCCCCGGGCUCAACCUGGGAACUGCAUCCGAAACUGGCAGGCUAGAGUCUUGUAGAGGGGGGUAGAAUUCCAGGUGUAGCGGUGAAAUGCGUAGAGAUCUGGAGGAAUACCGGUGGCGAAGGCGGCCCCCUGGACAAAGACUGACGCUCAGGUGCGAAAGCGUGGGGAGCAAACA